This 252-nucleotide ribosomal RNA is filed under the name uncultured bacterium. RNAcentral's name for it is "partial 16S ribosomal RNA". It matches the Rfam family "Bacterial small subunit ribosomal RNA", at positions 524 to 774 of the family's 1533-position model. The record is from RNAcentral.
UACGAAGGGGGCUAGCGUUGCUCGGAAUCACUGGGCGUAAAGCGCACGUAGGCGGAUUGUUAAGUCAGGGGUGAAAUCCUGGAGCUCAACUCCAGAACUGCCUUUGAUACUGGCGAUCUUGAGUCCGGGAGAGGUGAGUGGAACUGCGAGUGUAGAGGUGAAAAUUCGUAGAUAUUCGCAAGAACACCAGUGGCGAAGGCGGCUCACUGGCCCGGUACUGACGCUGAGGUGCGAAAGCGUGGGGAGCAAACA